Molecule: long non-coding RNA, 2319 nt
Organism: Oryctolagus cuniculus (rabbit)
Lineage: Eukaryota; Metazoa; Chordata; Mammalia; Lagomorpha; Leporidae
Source: Ensembl
AUGUGUUUAAAAGAUCCUGUACUCGAGGUAAAUAAAGAUCCUUAUCUCACCUGUGUGCUGGCCGUGGCCUCGCAUCGUGACCCCCCCGGCGGAAGUGCUCAGGCCCCUGCACUCCUCGCUGGCCCGAGAGCGAAUGUCGUGUUUACUCCCCUGGCUGCGAUUUGCUUAGAGAAGUGCCUGGCCUUCAGCCUUGCUGGUCACAAGGACCUGGGGCCUAUGACGUCACAGGGGCGUGGACAGCCCGUCCUGCAGUGCACAGGGGCGUGGACAGCCCGUCCUGCAGUGCACAGGGGCACGGACAGCCCCGUCCUGCAGUGCACAGGGGCACGGACAGCCCCGUCCUGCAGUGCACAGGGGCGUGGACAGCCCCGUCCUGCAGUGCACAGGGGCGUGGACAGCCCGUCCUGCAGUGCACAGGGGCGUGGGGGCGUGGACAGCCCGUCCUGCAGUGCACAGGGGCGUGGACAGCCCGUCCUGCAGUGCACAGGGGCGUGGGGGCGUGACAGAGCCCCCAUCUGUCAUGUCCUUCCCUUGGGUCUGUGCAGCUGUGGCCUUCACCCCACCUCGUGUGCCGAGCCCGGCCUCUGCCUGCGGCUCUGCAGGGCGGGAGUGAGCCCUCCGUGAAUGCGCCUGGAGUCCGCCCUGUGCACGAGCAAGGUGCCGGUCUGUGCGGUGUCCCCGUGGGUCUGUCCCGAAACACUCCCAGGGAGGGCGGAACUGCCACCAGCCGCAGGUCACUGUGGAACCAGCACCCGUGGCUCGGCGUCUGCCACAUAGCCAAGCUCGUGAGCCUGAAAUACCGCCUCGUGGGGACGAACGUCUCUGUCCUGUCCACAGUCAGGCUCCGGGCCAUCCUGCUGCUCAGGCUUGGGGUGGCUGGGCAGCGAGGUUUGCUUCUUCCCUGGGGAGGGGCACCCUGGAGAGGGAGCCCCCAGCCACCUGCGGGAGAGCAGAGUGGCCUGGGAGCCCAGCGUUAGUCGGAGGUUGCGGCCCAGUCGCCGAGGAGCGCGGAGGGAGGGUGGCGUGGCCGUGCAGCCUGCCGCUGCCCCCUGCCUCACGUGGCCGUGUCCGCGUGCAUCAAGUCGUCCAGUGAGUCCCGGAGAAAGUGAGCGGCAGGAGGGGCUGGGAGGCCCUGGGCGGGUGAGGGCUCCGGCCAGGUGGGCCGGGCAGCCCUGGACGGGCCCUGUCCUCGUGAAGACCCAGGUCCUGUGUGGAGAUGCUCUCGUGGCCGCUGUGGCUCCUUACGUCGGCUUGGGAGGUCGCCCAGGAACCUGGAGCAGAGUUGAACUGUUGGGAGCCGGCGUGGGUUUGGGUCCAACCAGGAGAAAACUCACGGGGGCCGUUGGCGCUUCCUCCUCCGUGAGCUGCCUUCCCCUUGAACGUGGCCGAGGUCACCCGGUGACAUGGGGGGUCCUGCUGUCCCCAGGGCCGGGAUGGGGGCAGCCUCUGCUGCACGGCCCCUCCCCGAGUGAGGCUCAGUGCGCCCCUGCAGAGCCGUGGGGGUCCAGGCUGGGAGCCGCGGAGCUGUGGGGCUGGGUGUGUGUGCCCUGCUGACACGCUGACCUGCGCACAGCAGGACGCAGGGGGACGUGAGCCACCCACUGACAUUUUUUCAGAGUUAUUUACUUGAAAGGCAGAGUUACAGAGGGGCAGAGAGAGAAAAUCUUCCAUCCGCUGGGUCACCUCCAGAUGGCCACAGUGGCCGGAGCUGAGCCGAUCUGAAGCCAGGAGCCAGGAGCCAGGGGCUUCUCCCGGGCCCUGUCAUGGAAUGCCGGCAGGCAGCAGGCCUUGGCUUUACCUCCGACUUGGGGAAAUUUAACAUUUCCUGCGUUUCUAAGAUUUGCGGGAUUCAGGUGUUUCUUUUGCCAGGUGAGGGCUUGGUGUUUAUUUCAAAUUAUAAUGCAGAUUUACCUGAGAAAGGCAGUCAUAGUGCAGGCAGGGGGGAGGCAGCUGACGGGGGCGCCCUGCCUGUGCCUCGGCAAGUGCAGCUCUGCUGCUUCCCCCUUGGGCUCUUAGGGACCCCUCCUCACUGCGCACUGACUCCCCAGUCCCUGCCUUCCCCUGCCCUGCCCUGGAGGUGGUUGGCGUCCACUAGCAUUGGUGGGCUCCACUCAGGAGGCCCGGUGGCCACCCCACAAAUGCUGCCCAGUGUCAGUCCCCAGACUGGAAAGAUGGCAGGCGCACCUGGCUUUGGCCUGGCCCAGCUCUGGGCCACCGCGGCCAUCUGGAGAGUGAGCCAGCAGAUGGAAACCCACCCUGCCCCCCAGCUCUGCCUUUUGGGAGAAUAAAGUAAAUCCUAAAGAAGAAGAAAAGGAGCUA